GGGCAGGAGACAGGUGGNGCAUGGUUGUCGUCAGCUCGUGUCGUGAGAUGUUGGGUUAAGUCCCGCAACGAGCGCAACCCUUAUCAUUAGUUGCUACCAUUUAGUUGAGCACUUUAAUGAGACUGCCGUGGUUAACGCGGAGGAAGGUGGGGAUGACGUCAAAUCAUCAUGCCCCUUAUGUCUAGGGCUACACACGUGCUACAAUGGUGAGUACAAAGAGACGCAAUACCGCGAGGUGGAGCAAAACUCAAAAACUCAUCCCAGUUCGGAUUGUAGGCUGAAACUCGCCUACAUGAAGCCGGAGUUGCUAGUAAUCGCGAAUCAGCAUGUCGCGGUGAAUACGUUCCCGGGCCUUGUACACACCGCCCGUCACACCAUGAGAGUNUGCAACACCCGAAGUCCGUGAGGUAACCCGUAAGGGANCCAGCGUCUCGAAGGUGGGUCGGAUGAUUGGGUGCUC
Molecule: ribosomal RNA, 460 nt
Filed under: uncultured eubacterium HRS-5
Lineage: Bacteria; Bacillati; Bacillota; Clostridia; Eubacteriales
Description: bacterial SSU rRNA
Rfam family: Bacterial small subunit ribosomal RNA
Source: RNAcentral